CAGACUGAUGUCUCCUUGGAGAGG
This 24-nucleotide non-coding RNA is filed under the name Cricetulus griseus (Chinese hamster). Lineage: Eukaryota; Metazoa; Chordata; Mammalia; Rodentia; Cricetidae. The record is from RNAcentral.